This 477-nucleotide ribosomal RNA is filed under the name Triticum aestivum (bread wheat). Its description in RNAcentral is "partial small subunit ribosomal RNA". Lineage: Eukaryota; Viridiplantae; Streptophyta; Magnoliopsida; Poales; Poaceae. The record is from RNAcentral.
AUGGGCUUCCUCCGGUCUUGGCAAAAUUGGCGGACUCAUCGCCGACGGCACCCUCUGACAUCUGCAAGAUGUAUCGUCCACGUCUGCAGCCCCGUCAUAGCGCAUUUUUUUGCGCCUCCGGCUGUGUGCGGUUUCAUCAUCCACGACGACCACACCAUCGACCACGGCUACAUCACCAUGAUCGGCUACCUAGACAUUGACAUUGAUGACUACGUCUACAGCAACUCAUCGGCAACAACUUCAGUCAACAGCGUCCGCGUCGUCACUACCGUCCACGCCACUCCCGCUGUGACUGCGGGAGGGAAUAGAGGAGAAGGCAUGAAGGCACCAGAAGGGGACGCAGUCACCGCCCUAGGUGCCAAUCCAUCAGAGACGCAGUUGAUGAUGGCGCGGCGGAGAAGACGACGAAAGCGCAAGACUUCAAAUCCAGUCAUACUCGUCCGCUUCACUCCCGCUACGACUGAGGGGGAAUGUUAG